UGCGCAGGCGGGGCAAUUAGUCAGUGGUGAAAUCCUGCGGCUUAACCGUGGAAUUGCCAUUGAUACUGUUGUCCUUGAGUAUAGUUGAAGUGGGCGGAAUAUGUAAUGUAGCGGUGAAAUGCAUAGAUAUUACAUAGAACACCAAUUGCGAAGGCAGCUCACUAAGCUAUCACUGACGCUGAGGCACGAAAGCGUGGGGAGCGAACAGGAUUAGAUACCCUGGUAGUCC
This 229-nucleotide ribosomal RNA is filed under the name uncultured bacterium. Its description in RNAcentral is "partial 16S ribosomal RNA". It matches the Rfam family "Bacterial small subunit ribosomal RNA", at positions 568 to 796 of the family's 1533-position model. The record is from RNAcentral.